UGAGGAACAUGACCUUCGGCGGGGGAUAGCCGGCCCAACGGCCGGGUAAUACCGCGUACGACCACAUGGGGACAUCCCUGAGUGGUGAAAGCAGCAAUGCGCCGAUGGAGUGCCUCGCGGCCUAUCAGCUAGUUGGUGGGGUAACGCUCACCAAGGCGACGACGGGUAGCUGGUCUGAGAGGAUGGCCAGCCACAUUGGGACUGAGACACGGCCCAGACUCCGUACGGGAGCAG
Molecule: ribosomal RNA, 234 nt
Filed under: uncultured bacterium
Lineage: Bacteria
Description: partial 16S ribosomal RNA
Rfam family: Bacterial small subunit ribosomal RNA
Source: RNAcentral